RNAcentral lists this ribosomal RNA (376 nucleotides) under uncultured fungus. RNAcentral's name for it is "bacterial SSU rRNA". It matches the Rfam family "Eukaryotic small subunit ribosomal RNA", at positions 21 to 368 of the family's 1831-position model. The record is from RNAcentral. Lineage: Eukaryota; Fungi.
UGUAGUCAUAUGCUUGUCUCAAAGACUAAGCCAUGCAUGUCUAAGUAUAAACACCUUUAUACUGCGAAACUGCGAACGGCUCAUUAUAUCAGUUAUAAUCUACUUGAUCGUAUCCUCUUACUUGGAUAACCGUAGUAAUUCUAGAGCUAAUACAUGCAAAAGUUCCCGACUGGUGACGGAAGGGAAGUAUUUAUUAGGUCCAAAAUCAAUGCUGGCCAUUCCAAACUGGGGCAACCUGGGGUCAGGAAAAGUUGAUGAUUCAUAAUAACUAAACGAAGCGCAGGGCUUGUCUCGGCGCUGAUACAAACGAGUUUCUGCCCUAUCAACUUUCGAUGGUAGUAUAGGGGACUACCAUGGUCGUAACGGGUAACGGGGA